AAAACCGGGUAAAUAACACGUGAGUAACCUGCCCUUGACUCUGGGAUAAGCCUGGGAAACUGGGUCUAAUACCGGAUACCACCGCUCCACGCAUGUGGUGGUGGUGGAAAGCUUUUGCGGUUUUGGAUGGACUCGCGGCCUAUCAGCUUGUUGGUGGGGUAAUGGCCUACCAAGGCGACGACGAGCUAGCCGGCCUGAGAGGGUGACCGGCCACACUGGGACUGAGACACGGCCCACACUCCUACGGGAGGCAGCAGUGGGGAAUAUUGCACAAUGGGCGCAAGCCUGAUGCAGCGACGCCGCGUGAGGGAUGACGGCCUUCGGGUUGUAAACCUCUUUCAGUAGGGAAGAAACGUAAGUGACGGUACCUGCAGAAGAAGCGCCGGCUAACUACAUGCCACCCGCCGCGGUAAUACGUACGGCGCAAGCCUUAUCCAGAAUUAUUGGGCGUAAAGAUCUCGAAUGCGUGUUUGUCGCGUCUGCUGUGAAAGACCGGGGCUCAACUCCUGUUCUGCAGUGGGUACGGGCAGACUAUAGUGAUGUAGGGGAGACUGGAAUUCCUGGUGUAGCGGUGAAAUGCUCACAUAUCAAGAGGAACACCCAUGGCGAAGGCAAGUCUCUGGGCAUUAACUGACGCUGAGGAGCGAAAGCAUGGAGAGCGAACAGGAUUAGAUACCCUGGCAGUCCAUG
Molecule: ribosomal RNA, 690 nt
Filed under: soil bacterium Gent-S1P-M1LLLSSL-2
Lineage: Bacteria
Description: bacterial SSU rRNA
Rfam family: Bacterial small subunit ribosomal RNA
Source: RNAcentral